UCUAGAAGAUCGGUCUGAACCCCUGAGGUUGGUUUCUCUUUUUUCUAUUUCCUGUUGGUGUCCUUUGCUUUCAUGUUGCGUGUUUUUUUUUGUUUGGCUUCCUUUUACUUAUAACAUAAUCAAGAUGCCUGUGACAGCAGGGGUGAAGAAAAUGACAUCAAAAUUCAACUCUUUUUAAGCGAGCUUUUAUGCACAAUGGAUCUCUCACAGUUUUAAAAAAUCAGAACUAAUCCAAAUACUUUUUAAUAAUAAAUAGAAUAUUAGUUUUAUUUACAUAUAAUUAAUUAUAUAUAUAAUAGAAGGCAAACCAAGAGAGAACUAGAGUGGAGGGUAUUCAUAGGUAAAGUUAGGAAUGGAAAUUUUCAUUAACGUAUGGAAUAGUAUUUGAUCUUUCGAGAGUUUUUUUUGAUGCAGUAUUCUGGUUUUUUGAAGAACCAUAACCUGCCACGAGGCCAAUAUUUUGGAUGCAGUAUUCAGGCUUCGUGGAAGUUUGAGUGUUCCUGAUUAUCAGGGUUUUUUAUAAAAAUAAUAUAAAAAAAAUAAAAAAUUAUCAAAAUGUUAUAAUUUUUUUUAUUUAUCAAUAUAUAUAUAAAUUUUUUUAUUUAUCAAAAUAUAUCAAAAAAAACCUGAACUGAUUUGACAACUCCCUGAGUGGAGGGAAGCAGGUUGGCGGCACCAAACAAGGGAACCCUGUUGGCGGCACCACCCUUGAAUUUAAGGGUGGUCGGUUGGUGGGGGGAAGAAGGAGAGGGAAAGAAGAAGAAAGAAAGGAAGAAAGAAAAAGAAGGAAAAGGAAAGGAGAGGAAAGAAAGAAAAAGAAGGAAAGAAAAGGAAAGGAGAGGAAAGAAAGAAAAAUAAGGAAAGAAAAGGAAAGUAGAAGAGAAAAAAAAAGAAAGAAGAAGAAGA
RNAcentral lists this long non-coding RNA (906 nucleotides) under Gossypium barbadense (sea-island cotton). RNAcentral describes it as "long non-coding RNA (GBAR_LNC015985)". The record is from RNAcentral. Lineage: Eukaryota; Viridiplantae; Streptophyta; Magnoliopsida; Malvales; Malvaceae.